Molecule: long non-coding RNA, 431 nt
Filed under: Monodelphis domestica (gray short-tailed opossum)
Lineage: Eukaryota; Metazoa; Chordata; Mammalia; Didelphimorphia; Didelphidae
Description: lncRNA (ENSMODG00000031040.2)
Source: RNAcentral
AUGUGCCAAAAAAGAGCAAUUAAAGUGCAUUAUAUAUAUUUUGGUAGUCUUAUGGCAAUUCUUAUUGUUAGAGAGAAUUUUCCCUAUUGUUCACUUGUGUCCCAUUCUUUGUUUUUUUUGGGACUCCACGGACUAUACCUGUCCAUGAUGUUUUCUUGGCAAAGAUACUGGAAUGGUUUACCAUUGCCUUCUCCAGGGGAUCCUUCUGUCAGGCUUCAUCUGCUGAAUAAUCUCUGUGAGUUAUGCAUCGAUCUGCAUUCUCUCCUUACUGUCAGAUGGAAAAUAGCUAAAUUCUUACAAACGGGGUUUCUUGCAACUCCCUGAAGGCAAUGGGACUCCCAAUCAACAAGCUACAAAUUCUCUUGAGAAUGAAGCCUGAGGUUAGUUUCUGAAAUCAAAUGGGCACACAGUAUUUCCACUUGCUUCCUUUG